This 275-nucleotide ribosomal RNA is filed under the name uncultured prokaryote. RNAcentral's name for it is "partial 16S ribosomal RNA". It matches the Rfam family "Bacterial small subunit ribosomal RNA", at positions 524 to 798 of the family's 1533-position model. The record is from RNAcentral.
UACGGAGGUGGCAAGCGUUGUUCGGAAUUACUGGGCGUAAAGGGCGCGUAGGCGGCAUGGCAAGUCAGAUGUGAAAGCCCCGGGCUUAACCUGGGAAUUGCAUCUGAAACUGUUGUGCUUGAGUUCUGGAGGGGGUAGUGGAAUUCCCAGUGUAGCGGUGAAAUGCGUAGAUAUUGGGAGGAACACCUGCGGCGAAGGCGGCUACCUGGACAGAUACUGACGCUGAGGCGCGAAAGCUAGGGGAUCAAACGGGAUUAGAUACCCCGGUAGUCCCU